UCACAAUAUACAUAAUACAUCAUACCAGAAAUAUUGUCUGUAAAUGCAUUUGAAUUAUUAUUAUAGCAGAUGAGAUAACCACCACAUUAGUCGUCUAGCAUCACUAAACUAGUACGAUAAUUUAUUGUUUUAUUUUUUGGAAGGACACUGGAAUAAAUUUAUGUGAACAUGAACUUCCCCCACACCCCUUAAAUAAAACUAGAGUAACAGUGGGUAAGGAGCAAGGACUAAGGAACAUGAACUUCCCCCACACCCCCUUAAAUAAAUU
Molecule: long non-coding RNA, 268 nt
Filed under: Salvia miltiorrhiza (redroot sage)
Lineage: Eukaryota; Viridiplantae; Streptophyta; Magnoliopsida; Lamiales; Lamiaceae
Description: long non-coding RNA (SMIL_LNC013582)
Source: RNAcentral